CGAACAUGUCUCAUUUGUAGCAGUAGCUGUGUGCCAAAGCAAUGGCUUUUUCGGUUUUCCUGUCGUCCAACGCAAAACAGAAUCCAACAGCAGCAGCAGCAGCAGAAAUUUUCCCCGUCAUAAACUCCUAAUGAGCAAGAACUAGGAAUUGAAUUGAGUUGCUAUAUUGUAUUUGAUCAAAUUUAAUCAAAUGAGAAAGUAAAGAUGGGUUCGGAUUCGAGCUCCACACCAACGGCAUCGCCGAAUGGGAAGCGAAGUAGAGAUCCAGAAGACGAGGUUUAUCUCGACAAUCUCCAUUCUCACAAGCGUUACCUAAGCGAGAUAAUGGCAUCUAGCUUAAAUGGAUUAACUGUUGGAGAACCACUUUCUGAAAAUCUUAUGGAAUCUCCAGCAAGGUCUGAAGGCAUGUUCUAUGCCAGGUGAAUUUCUUGGUUUACACAUGAAAAUAACUGCUUGAGUAUUUUUUAUUCUUAUGGUUUUGUAACUUUCUGUACCAUUUCUCCUAUGUUAGCAGUUUAUUCUAUUAAUCCGUGAAUCAUGCAAUGCAACGUACUUGGAUUAAUUAAUGGCCUAAUAUUUUCUGGAAAUGGGAAUGUUUGCAGGCAUCAAUGGAAAGCAAAUGGUAAUUUGUAGUGUUGUAGUUUGAAAUACAGUAGUAGUGAAUCAUGGCUUAUCUUAUCAAUUAAUGUGAUGCAUACAGAGCACUUAGAUUGUUAGUAUUCCUCUCAAUGGCCAGUGAACUCUAGGCUGUACUAUGUACAUUAAGAGCUACUUUCCCCAUUUCUUCCUAUAGAGAAAGGAAGGGCAAUCUGAUUUUGAUCGCAUUAUCUGAAUAAUAAUUUACUCAUCUGGUCUUCUCUUAUCUUGGUUCAGUAAGGCAGUAACCGUGACGAAGUGGAGCUUUUAGCAAGUUUACGACUUGCAUAAUCACCAUUGAUCUUAAGACAAGGUUUGCAGUGAACUACUAGAACCAUAGAAUUUCGCAAGUCAUCUAUGCUUGCUUGAAUCACGAGAGUCCUUGAAGUCAUAGAAAAGCUUCCAAGUAGUUUUUGAAUAAUGAAAAGGAAUGGUUGAUACCUUUUAUGUUAGAAUGUUAAAUACCAGCAGGAAACUUUCAUGCCCAGUGCGUCAUGCUGUUGAAUGCUGCAAGCAAAAUGUGGUCUAAGGGGCCAGUUGCUCAUGUAUGAUUUCAUUUAAUGAAUGAAUUUGACUACUAGGGAAAAUGUUUUCAUGUUUUGCUUUUUCAAUAUAUUUAGCUCAAACAAGAUGAUGCCAUCUGAAUACACACUGACUUUUGAUCUGAUGUGAAAAUGGUGCCCUCUGUCUACAUUAACUUCUUUGUAUAAUAUUUUUCUUCUUAUUACAAAUUAGUAGCAUAUUUACUAUGAAUAUCGAGUCACCAAAAACCCAUUCUUUUGUUUCCACAGCUCUAAAGUGGGAAAACUAUUGCUGAAUGAAUUGCAAACAAAAAGAUUUUUAAGAAAAUUAAGAUGUCAUAAAAAUUACAAAGAUAUCCCUUCUCUUUGUAUUUAUGCACUCUUAUCUUAUAUGUGCAUAGUUUUCUGUCAUAACUGGGGAACUAUUUGUAAGCAUGACUCCACAUUCUUUAAGGUGGAUGUGUUUGUUCUAAAAGAGUCUAUUGGUCUUAAAUUUUACAAUAGCAUUGGUAACACCUCAUUGUCAUAUUUAGUUCUUUGAAAGCUUCAAUUCUUUUUGUUUAAUCCUAAUUUUUGUUGUGUUUUCUCAAAUUUAUUAUUUCAGGGAUGAAAUGUCCUUGCAAUAUUCACCAAUGUCAGAAGACUCGGAUGACUCUAGAUUUUGUGAGACCCCUAUAAAUACUUGCUCAUCACAACCUGAGAGUCUGCCCACCAGUCCAGUUUCUCCCUAUAGGUACCAAAGACCAUUUGGUGGGUUCUCUACCGCUUCUUCUACCAGCUCAUAUCCAGCGCAUGGCUGCACUGCCACUAGUGUCACUUGCUCACAACCUCGUCAACGAGGUUCAGAUUCUGAGGGUCGGUUUCCAUCAUCACCUAGUGAUAUUUGCCACUCAGCUGACUUGAGGAGGGCUGCACUCUUGCGAUCCGUGCAGAUGAGGACACAACCUCCUGGAUCAUCAUCUUUUGAAUUGCCUUUUGGCUCAGGGCAGGAGCCUGUAUCUAAUAUAGAAUCUGAUGAGCGGCCAUGCUUAUAUAUGAAGUCCUUAAUUGAUGAGAGAGAUUAUCAGAUUGAGUGCUCUUCUAGGGGUGCCACUGGACCUGAAUUUAAUGAUGGAAAGUCAUGCAGAGUGUUGAAUAUGAAUAUAAAAAGGGAUGAGUCUGGGGGUUAAACACUUCUGGAACUGGAUUAUCAAACUGACUUUGACCACAUCUUGUAAGAUUGCUAUAGCCUGCAGCAGUUCAAGCAUUUUUUCUGACCUAAAAGCUGUUUUUUUUUUCCAUUGAAUUCGUUGAUGAUUGUGAGUUUUGUAUCAGGCUUUUUUUUUUUACUAAGAGAGAAUCUAUAUGCUGCAUAUACAGUGUUAAUAAUGGCUAUCUCAUGCACCCAAAAGGAGGUUUUGAGGAUGUGAUUAUACAUUUUCACCUGCUUAAGUAAGCCAUCACUUGAUAUUGGUGGCCAAAUAUGACCAAAGUUGGGUUAGCCAAAUCUGACCAAAGUUGGGUUAGUGAUCUUUGUAAAUCAGUAAUAUAUUAUAUUUUAUAUCUCUUGGCUCUGAAAGGUUUUGAUGAAAUGUAGAGAAUUUAGAAGUUGAUCUUAUGAUCAAAGGAUCAGCCAGUAAUGUUUACCAUUUGAUAUAUAUUAGUAUUUCUGCCCUUCUUGUCGUUCUGUUUGAUCCUCUCUCUUGGAUCUAUAAUAGAUAGAUAUGAGAUUCUGAUGAAAAGCCUUUGCUAUGAGGAAAAAAAAAACCGCAGGUUUUGAGUGUCUCUCUUUACAAGCUUCAUACUGUGCAAGUUUGUUUGUUUGCCCACCACUAUGCCUAUUUCAAUGUGUCUAUUUUCUGCAGCAUAUUUGUAUGUGCAUGGUUUCUCUUACAUACUUUCUAUGGCAUAGAUGAGAAUAUGCCAAGGGGUGUCCCGUUCUUAACUAACCUACAAAGAUUCAAAAAAACAGAGGGAAGAAAGAAGAAUGCACUGGAUAGCAUGGUCCAAAUUGGUGGAUUGGUUUCGAGACAUGGAAUGCUUUAACCAAGCUCUUCUAGCUAAGCAAGGAUGGAGGAUUUUAGCUAACCCAACUUGCUAUCUAGACUGUUGAAGGGGAAAUAUUUCUAUUGCUCAUCUUUUUUGCAGGCUAGAUAAGGUAGCAGAGCUCUUCUUGGGGGUGGCAAAGCAUUCUUUGGGGUACAGAGAUUCUUUACAAGGGGAUUAAGUGGCAAGCCAGUAAUGGAGAAACCAUUAUGUGUGAGGAGGAUAAAUGGGUUCCUCAAUGUUUCCCCAAUCCGCCGAGAACUUCUCCAAGCCAUGAUAACGAGAUAGUGUGGGUUUCACAACUGAUCAACCCCAUCUCCAAAUCCUAGCAGGUCCACACAGUUAAGGCCAACUUUAAAGAGGAAGAUGCAAACCAUAUUCUUGCAAUUCCGACUAGCUUAUGCUCAAGGGAGGAUUGAAUGGUAUGGCAUUAUGAUCGGUAGGGGUUAUAUUCGGUCAAAUCUGGAUAUCGAGUGGCAUGCAACAUGAAGAAAGACUCUUCGUUACAUGGAGACCCAGGUCCUUCUAUCCUUAUCUCGUAAAUGUCAAUUCUGGAAGCAGUUUUUGAAAUUAAAUCUACCAAGUAAGCUUGAUGAUUUUCUUAUGGAGUUUGUUUGAAGAGAAAUUGUCCUCAAAUGAUUUGCUACACUGAAGAUUUAACAACAUGGCUCCAGACUGUAACAUAGGAAACAUAGACACAUUGCAUCAUAUUUUCUUAUCCCGUACACUAGCCAUCGCUGUUUGGUUACAUUCGCCUCUUGGACUGCAUUCCUUGAUGCUAGCUCAUUCGUCCAUGAUUGAUUGCUGGAAUGAACUUUGUUCUUUUCUUCAUCAGAUGCUGGAUGGGCUGGAGUUCAUUCAGCAAUCAACAUUUAUUCUUUGGCAUCUGUGGAAGGGUAGGAACUCCCUUGUUUUUAACCAACAAAAUCAGACUUAUCAAUAAAUCAUUUCAGCAGCGAUAUAUCAUUACGAGGAAUUUAAGCAAGUGCACGGAGCAGAUAAUAAUCCAAUUAUGUUCCCACAGUUAAUAUUCCUCCUGUCAGCUCAUAGUCACCUCUUUUGGGUUCAGCUCUCAAAUUGAAUGCUGAUGCAUUGACAGACAAAAGAAAUAAUAGAGGCACGAGAACUGUUGUUAUUAGAGGGCUUGUUUGGC
This 4335-nucleotide unclassified non-coding RNA is filed under the name Hevea brasiliensis (rubber tree). The record is from RNAcentral. Lineage: Eukaryota; Viridiplantae; Streptophyta; Magnoliopsida; Malpighiales; Euphorbiaceae.